UACGAGGGGUCCAAGCGUUAAUCGGAAUUACUGGGCGUAAAGCGUACGCAAGGCGGUUUGUUAAGCGAGAUGUGAAAGCCCCCGGGCUCAACCUGGGAACUGCAUUUCGAACUGGCAGACUAGAGUCUUGUAGAGGGGGUAGAAUUUCAGGUGUAGCGGUGAAAUGCGUAGAGAUCUGAAGGAAUACCGGUGGCGAAGGCGGCCCCCUGGACAAAGGCUGACGCUGAUGUACGAAAGCGUGGGGAGCAAACAGGGAUUAGAUAACCCGCGUAGU
This 274-nucleotide ribosomal RNA is filed under the name uncultured bacterium. RNAcentral describes it as "partial 16S ribosomal RNA". It matches the Rfam family "Bacterial small subunit ribosomal RNA", at positions 524 to 794 of the family's 1533-position model. The record is from RNAcentral.